ACCUCUACCCUUCGCUUUCUUCCCCCCCAACAAUCCGCCCAUUACCCUCCUUCAAAUGGAACACAGGCAGCCCCUUUUCUGGAGGAAUCGUCACUUCUUACUGCCAAGAGACUCGAGAAUUACCAAUCAAUCGGCAAUUGCGAAUCGUCACCAGUUAACCUCUGCUCACCCACCUGUCUGCCGGCGAAACCCACCCGCCAUCACUCGAUUGCAACCGUUCGUCGGAAGUGCAGCCAUUGAUGGUUCGACAAGAUCCACAAAGGCAUUCGGUUCCACAGCCCAUAUCGCGGGACUAUUAGGUGUUGCUCUACUCGCCUGCCUCCGAUUAACAUUGUUCAGCAUGUACUGGAACAGCAACGCAUCUUUUCAUUCCAUAGAUACUUGUAUGAUUCGAUUUCCUUUAGCUAAAUCGCAGUACAUGCUCUUCUUCUUCUUCCUUUUUUUUUUUUUGACGUAACGCAAUUUGAUUUCAAUCCUCUCUUUUAUUCACCUUUUCUCACUUUAUCUUCUGCCCAAAUGUUGGCGGAUCUAAUAGAAUUCUUCAUAUUUCAGAGAAUUUUGGCUUGAUGUAAAGUCUGGACAAUGGCUAUCGAGAUUCUUAUCUCAUUCCUUUUUUGCUAUAGUCUUUUUUUUUUUGGGGCUUCCUUGAAUAGCAUCCUUUAAACGCUGACCUUUUUUUCCCCCUUUUUCUAGAAGCAAAAGAAUGUACUUGUGGGUGCAAAAGAAAUUGAUGUUCACCUUAUGCCUAAGCCAAGGAAAGACAGUGAUUGCAGUACUUGCUCAAUGCUCAAUAAGCCUGAUAAAUUUCUGUCAGGUUUGAACCCAUUUUCACUCAAAAGCUCGAGUUGUCAAGCGGUGGCAUCCAAAUUCCAAAUAAACCCAUCUAUUUCCCUUCCUUGCCGCCGGUGUGGGAUUCUCCAUUUUUUACUCUCAAUAUCCGUCCUCAUGUGAUACCGUGUGAUCUUUCUCACUUUUUGCCAACACGUGCAACGAGCUCUUGAUCACUUGCCCUCAACAACUGUCCUUGAGCUUUGGCUCUUCUCUCCUCCGGAUUCAGGCUUAACUACCAUGAGGUGGCCUUUCUCUUCCACGCUCGGGCGAGGGGACAACUAACUAGGAGUUGGGCUUCCACUUCCGUACUCGGACUUCACUAGCGGUGUGUGACUCCCCACAUGGACGUGUAAUCUAACUUUGAUACCAUGAUAAAUUUCAUUGGACUUACAAUCUAUUGGACUCACCUCCAACCCAAAAGCUCGAGCUUUUGAGUGGAAUGGGCUCAAGCUCGUGUAAAGCCUAGUAGAAAUUUGUCAUGUACUAGAAUAAGUUACUAUGUGCCCGUGUGAGAAGUCACAUCACGUCAGGCCAGAGUGUGGAACUCCUGGCAAGUGAAGUUCGAGUCUAUAAGUAAAAGCUCGACUCAUAGUUAGUUAUCACCAUUCAGUUGAGUGUGGAAGAGGAAGCCCACCUCAAGAUAGUUAAGUCCAAGACUGGAAGAGAAGAGAGCCCUAUUCGAGGUUAGGUAUUGAGAGCGGGUAUUUAAGAGUACAUGGCACGUAUAGGGAAAUAGUGAGAAAGAUCACACUGUGCUACGUGAUGGUGGGUUUUGAAAGGUGAAAGGAAUUAGAUCCCACAUUGGGCAAUAAAGAAAAAUAGAAGGGUUUAUAUGGAGCUUGAGUAUCACAGCCUAAUAGCUUAACCUUUUGGGUUAAAGAUGAGUCCAAGUUCGCAUAAACCAAGUAGAAAAUUAAGAUGAUAUCGGAGUAGGCUGUGCUUUUGCGCGAGCCCAUGUAAGCUCACACCAUGCCGACCUAAUGUCGAAAGAGACAAAGCCAAACGUUGGAGGUGAGGGUGGAUGUUGAGUAAAGAAGGGACAAAUCAAGAGAAAGAAUUGGGUUUGUAUGAGAAUCGGGUAAUACUAUUUAUCAGCUUGAACUUUUGAGUGGAUAUGGUUUUACUCAAUAAAGUAAAUAAAGUUUUACUCAGACGUGCAAGACCUGUUAUCCUUCUGCAGCAUCUUUGAGUUCCAUGAUCUUGCAAACCAGGGUAAGCCUCUCGUGAUCUGGGUUUUAGUUGGGUAUCAUGUAGUGCACUUGUUUGUGGAGCUAAAUGCCAAUUGCUCUUCUCCUUGUCCCUUUUGUUUUGUCUUGCAUUUAUUUGUGGGGUAUCGAUCAUAUGCUCUAUUGUUUGCUGUUGUAAUGGGUAAUUCUUGGACUCUCAGCUUUCUUGGGCAUUACCUCUUUUCACUCCAUAUAUCCAUGUAUAUUUUAUUUCAUUGUUGACCUUGUCAUUAUAACAUGAGCUCCUGAUGUAGGUGUAACUCUUGAAACUAAAUAUUCUAUUAGAAGGCCUUCCACGCUAUUUAUUCCAUUUCACAAUGAAAGAAUGAAUAAAAAGACAUAACCGGUAGAGUUUAGGGGGAGAAUGCUUCGGUUGAAUCUAUAAUGAAUGAGAGUAUGUUGAUUUUGAGAAAAAAAAGAGUGGCUUAUCUUCCUGGCUUUAUCAAGGGAAACCCAAUGGUGUAGGUUGCUAGGCGGAGGUUAAGGAUCUGAUAUAAUUCCAUUUUUUGGAAUUUAUCUGGAGGUUUUUAUUAAAUAUUGAGGUAUAAGGCACUGUACAAUUUUUGGUUUUUCUAA
This is a non-coding RNA of Punica granatum (pomegranate), 2633 nucleotides long. Lineage: Eukaryota; Viridiplantae; Streptophyta; Magnoliopsida; Myrtales; Lythraceae. The record is from RefSeq and is a predicted model, not a curated record.